RNAcentral lists this small RNA (130 nucleotides) under Escherichia coli. RNAcentral's name for it is "RtT sRNA". It matches the Rfam family "RtT RNA". From Rfam's summary of the family: This family represents a bacterial cis-regulatory element known as RtT RNA. The exact function of RtT is unknown although it is thought that it may be involved in changing the cellular response in relation to amino acid starvation. Lineage: Bacteria; Pseudomonadati; Pseudomonadota; Gammaproteobacteria; Enterobacterales; Enterobacteriaceae. The record is from RNAcentral.
AUUCUGCCCAUGCGGGGAAGGAUGAGAAGCUUCGACUAAGGUUCGGCUCGAGCGUCAGCGAGAGAGCGUUGCCAGGCAACGACCCGAAGGGCGAAGCGCGCAGCGCUGAGUAAUCCUUCCCCCACCACCA